CCUACGGGAGGCUGCAGUGAGGAAUAUUGGUCAAUGGGCGCGAGCCUGAACCAGCCAAGUAGCGUGAAGGAUGACUGCCCUACGGGUUGUAAACUUCUUUUAUAAAGGAAUAAAGUGAGGCACGUGUGCCUUUUUGUAUGUACUUUAUGAAUAAGGAUCGGCUAACUCCGUGCCAUCAGCCGCGGUAAUACGGAGGAUCCGAGCGUUAUCCGGAUUUAUUGGGUUUAAAGGGAGCGUAGAUGGGUUGUUAAGUCAGUUGUGAAAGUUUGCGGCUCAACCGUAAAAUUGCAAUUGAUACUGGCAGUCUUGAGUACAGAUGAGGUAGGCGGAAUUCGUGGUGUAGCGGUGAAAUGCUUAGAUAUCACGAAGAACUCCGAUUGCGAAGGCAGCUUACUAAACUGCCACUGACAUUGAUGCUCGAAAGUGUGGGUAUCAAACAGGAUUAGAUACCCUAGUAGUC
Molecule: ribosomal RNA, 460 nt
Filed under: uncultured bacterium
Lineage: Bacteria
Description: partial 16S ribosomal RNA
Rfam family: Bacterial small subunit ribosomal RNA
Source: RNAcentral